GGGAAUAUUGCGCAAUGGAGGAAACUCUGACGCAGUGACGCCGCGUAUAGGAAGAAGGUUUUCGGAUUGUAAACUAUUGUCGUGAGGGAAGAAAUUGACAGUACCUCAGGAGGAAGCUCCGGCUAACUAUGUGCCAGCAGCCGCGGUAAUACGGAGGAUGCGAGCGUUAUCCGGAUUCAUUGGGUUUAAAGGGUGCGCAGGCGGGCCUUUAAGCCGGCGGUGAAAUCGCGGGGCUCAACCCCGCCGAGCCGUCGGAACUGGGGGCCUUGAGUGCGGCGGAGGCAUGCGGAAUGCGCGGUGUAGCGGUGAAAUGCAUAGAUAUCGCGCAGAACCCCGAUUGCGAAGGCAGCGUGCCGUGCCGCCACUGACGCUGAGGCACGAAAGCGCGGGGAUCGAACAGG
RNAcentral lists this ribosomal RNA (401 nucleotides) under uncultured bacterium. Its description in RNAcentral is "bacterial SSU rRNA". It matches the Rfam family "Bacterial small subunit ribosomal RNA", at positions 357 to 776 of the family's 1533-position model. The record is from RNAcentral.